CGCACGUAUCCGGGCCCCGCCCCCUGGCCGGCCUACUUACAGCAUUGGCCGGCCCGCUUGUCAUUCCCACCGUGGCUACCAUUCAUGCAGUUUGGUUGCGUCUUGGUGUAUUUGAGUGUUUGCAAUAAAAAGGGCUUUUAAUUUUUGGAGGUGCAGGUCCAGCUGCAAUUAGUUCACUGAAAAGUCUACCGCCUUGCAAGCAGCCAACCGCGGCUAGCUUUAGCUCUUUAUUUCUCCCUUGCAAUUGCAAGCCACUAAUUCAGAGGUGCAACUAUGCCCAAAAGAAAGCCCCAGCCACCUAUUGCAGAUUCCUCUGGGGUUCACUUGAUGGGAGCCAUCCUUGAGCCGACGCUGACAACAACCUGGUUGUUGCAGGCAGCCGUUGAAGGGCAGGUAAAGGAGGAGCCAAAGAGGCGGUCACCUCGAUUAUCUGCUAAGCCUGUUCCUCCUAAAUCUGAGCCCAAAACCAAAAAGGCAGCAGCCCCAAAGAAAGUGAACGUAGCAAAUGAUAAAAAGGAAAUGAAAGGCAAGAAGGGGGCCGCCAAAGUCAAAGUGGAAACCAAGCAGGAAGAAGUGAAAGAAGAAAACCACUCUGAAAAUGGAGAGACCCAAACUAACGAGGUGCCGGCUGUGGAAGAACCUGAGGAGAAGCCUGAGUAAUAUGUAACACUGCCCUAUAUCUCCAUCAGUUUGCAUGAAGUUAAUUUUGGAACGUCUCCAUCCUGGUCGCUUGGGUAUGAUGUCACCAACAAGAUAUCACUGUCUCUGCAUUUUGUGAUUAUAAUAGUGUGAUCUAUGGCAAGAAUAAGUGGUGGUAGCUUCUGACUUUUGUCACUGUGUACCCUUUCUUGUGUAAGCUAUCCUUUCCGUCCUUUGGCUUUUUCUUUGGCCCUGGUACGUGUUUAAUUCAGUGAAGUGGGGAGGCCCCAAAUAGAAAGUUCUCAAAUCGGCUAGUCCGGGGUGUCUGUGGGUUGAUUUUAUAAAGAAGGUGAGCUAUUUUCAUGAAAUUCUAAGAGUUGGAAAUAUCUUUCCCAAAUAUAACUUUAAUAUUAGUUUUUGAAAGAAAGUAAAAUGUAAUCAUGUUUUUAAACAAAAUACAAAUGUUUAUUUCAGAAGGGCAGAUUGAUUGUAUGUGUAGCCACUAUUAGAAAUUUUGCUGGAUUUAUCUUAAUAAAAUAAAAAGACUCCUC
RNAcentral lists this long non-coding RNA (1190 nucleotides) under Vombatus ursinus (common wombat). Its description in RNAcentral is "lncRNA (ENSVURG00010012925.1)". Lineage: Eukaryota; Metazoa; Chordata; Mammalia; Diprotodontia; Vombatidae. The record is from RNAcentral.